Molecule: ribosomal RNA, 253 nt
Filed under: uncultured bacterium
Lineage: Bacteria
Description: partial 16S ribosomal RNA
Rfam family: Bacterial small subunit ribosomal RNA
Source: RNAcentral
UACGUAGGAUGCGAGCGUUGUCCGGAAUUAUUGGGCGUAAAGAGCUCGUAGGCGGCUUGUCACGUCGGUUGUGAAAGCCCGGGGCUUAACCCCGGGUCUGCAGUCGAUACGGGCAGGCUAGAGUUCGGUAGGGGAGAUCGGAAUUCCUGGUGUAGCGGUGAAAUGCGCAGAUAUCAGGAGGAACACCGGUGGCGAAGGCGGGUCUCUGGGCAGUAACUGACGCUGAGAAGCGAAAGCGUGGGGAGCGAACAGG